Molecule: ribosomal RNA, 491 nt
Filed under: uncultured bacterium
Lineage: Bacteria
Description: partial 16S ribosomal RNA
Rfam family: Bacterial small subunit ribosomal RNA
Source: RNAcentral
UUGAACGCUGGCGGCAUGCUUUACCCAUGCAAGUCGAACGGUAACAGGCCUUCGGGUGCUGACGAGUGGCGAACGGGUGAGUAAUGCAUCGGAACGUGCCCAGAGGUGGGGGAUAACGCAGCGAAAGCUGUGCUAAUACCGCAUGUGAUCUGAGGAUGAAAGCGGGGGACCAGGCAGCAAUGUUUGGCCUCGCGCCUUUGGAGCGGCCGAUGUCAGAUUAGGUAGUUGGUGGGGUAAAGGCCUACCAAGCCGACGAUCUGUAGCUGGUCUGAGAGGACGACCAGCCACACUGGGACUGAGACACGGCCCAGACUCCUACGGGAGGCAGCAGUGGGGAAUGUUGGACAAUGGGCGCAAGCCUGAUCCAGCAAUGCCGCGUGCGGGAAGAAGGCCUUCGGGUUGUAAACCGCUUUUGUACGGAACGAAAAGGCUCUGGCUAAUACCUGGGGCUGAUGACGGUACCGUAAGAAUAAGCACCGGCUAACUACGUG